UACGUAGGGUGCGAGCGUUUGUCCGGAAUUACUGGGCGUAAAGAGCUCGUAGGCGGUUUGUCGCGUCUGCUGUGAAAACCUAAGGCUCAACCUUGGGCUUGCAGUGGGUACGGGCAGACUAGAGUGCGGUAGGGGUGACUGGAAUUCCUGGUGUAGCGGUGGAAUGCGCAGAUAUCAGGAGGAACACCGAUGGCGAAGGCAGAUCUCUGGGCCGUAACUGACGCUGGAGGAGCGAAAGCAUGGGGAGC
Molecule: ribosomal RNA, 248 nt
Filed under: uncultured bacterium
Lineage: Bacteria
Description: partial 16S ribosomal RNA
Rfam family: Bacterial small subunit ribosomal RNA
Source: RNAcentral